Plectropomus leopardus (leopard coralgrouper) is the source of this 1109-nucleotide non-coding RNA. NCBI's taxonomy places the organism in Eukaryota, Metazoa, Chordata, Actinopteri, Perciformes, Serranidae. The record is from RefSeq and is a predicted model, not a curated record.
UACAGUGUCAAUCAUUUCAUUUUUUAUUGUGAAUAACAGAAUGGUUUGGGGGCCACUGGCACCCUAAAAAGGUCCAAAUUUGGUCCGCGAACCCUAAGUUGAGUAUCACCGGCAUAAAGUUUUUGAGAAUUUAGUUAGAAAAAUUGACAGAUAGUGGAGUCACUGCUGAUUGGUUAGAGCAAAACAACCCUCCCUGACAAAUAGUUAAGAUAAAAAAUAAAAAAAAAAUAACUGCAAACGCCCUUUAUGUUGGUAAAAAGUCAAAAAUGUAAUAAAAAAUGUACCCACUUGAUAUGAAAAGCAGGAGUGAAGUGUGGGUCAGUGCGCCCGUGGACGUUUUGUUUGUGCUGCUCUUUGACCUUUUCAAACCCUCACUGGCCUCAUGCUUCUCUGUGCCGUACAGUCACCAUUAAUCUGUUUGUUUAUCUGUUGUUGUUUUUUUCUCCCAUCAUGCUUUGUGUUGCUGCUGCCUGACUCUGCUCCUGUGUGCUCUGCCCUGAUCAACAAUGUCUUUUGGCUUCUGUCUUCACCUCCUCAUCCUCCUCUUGGCUUCUGCUGCUUCUUUGCCUUAAUCCUUUUCCUUCCUCUCUUCUCCUGACGCCUCUUUCCUGUCGUCUUUUUUCCAAACCCUCUUCUCCUCUCUGUCUCUUUUUUUUUUCGUUCUUAUGUCUUUAUGUCGUCUUCUUCUGCUCCUUCAAUCUGUCCUCUCUUUCCUUGAUCUUUUGUCUCUGCUCUCCCUCUUUCCUCCUCUUUUAUCCUCCCUUUUCUCUCUCACUGAUCGGUCCUGAGCAGAGGAGGCUGAGGUGUCCAACAUCGACCACGUGGUUCUGGAUGAAGACCACUCUGGAUCCAGGAGGCUGCAGAACCUCUGGAGGGACUCCAGAGAGGAGGCGCUGGGUGAAUACUACAUGAGAAAGUAUGCUAAGUCCUCGGGAGGCGAGCAUUACUCCGGAGGGUCCGAGGAGCUCUCUGAUGACAUCACUCAGCAGCAGCUACUUCCUGGAGUCAAGGAUCCCAACCUGUGGACGGUCAAGUGUAAGAUCGGAGAGGAGAGGGCGACGGCCAUCGCGCUGAUGAGGAAGUUCAUCGCCUACCAGUUCACCGACACA